GAAAUUCAUAUCACUUAUAUCAAAUGCAUAAGGGGAAAUAACUCUUAUAUGGAGCGUUCAUUUCGAUUUGGUCAAAAUGGAACAAAUCAUGCGAAGGAUAUAAAGAGCAAUUUUAUAAAAUAAAUUUGUCGCUUUCUUUUACGGUUACGGAGGAGAUGUGGACACAAGGAAAACAGUGUUUUGGAUAACUCCUACAAAGAAAAUUAUUUUGUUACGCAGGGUAAAUUUCAAAGGCGC
This 237-nucleotide long non-coding RNA is filed under the name Mytilus galloprovincialis (Mediterranean mussel). The record is from RNAcentral. Lineage: Eukaryota; Metazoa; Mollusca; Bivalvia; Mytilida; Mytilidae.